GACGAACGCUGGCGGCGUGCUUAACACAUGCAAGUCGAACGAAGAGCGAUGGAAGCUUGCUUCUAUCAAUCUUAGUGGCGAACGGGUGAGUAACGCGUAAUCAACCUGCCCUUCAGAGGGGGACAACAGUUGGAAACGACUGCUAAUACCGCAUACGAUCUGACCUCGGUAUCGAGGAUAGAUGAAAGGUGGCCUCUACAUGUAAGCUAUCACUGAAGGAGGGGAUUGCGUCUGAUUAGCUAGUUGGAGGGGUAACGGCCCACCAAGGCGAUGAUCAGUAGCCGGUCUGAGAGGAUGAACGGCCACAUUGGGACUGAGACACGGCCCAGACUCCUACGGGAGGCAGCAGUGGGGAAUCUUCCGCAAUGGACGAAAGUCUGACGGAGCAACGCCGCGUGAGUGAUGACGGCCUUCGGGUUGUAAAGCUCUGUUAAUCGGGACGAAAGGCCUUCUUGCGAAAUAGUAGAAAGGAAUUGACCGG
This 481-nucleotide ribosomal RNA is filed under the name Veillonella parvula. Its description in RNAcentral is "bacterial SSU rRNA". It matches the Rfam family "Bacterial small subunit ribosomal RNA", at positions 28 to 481 of the family's 1533-position model. The record is from RNAcentral. Lineage: Bacteria; Bacillati; Bacillota; Negativicutes; Veillonellales; Veillonellaceae.